This 2105-nucleotide long non-coding RNA is filed under the name Homo sapiens (human). Its description in RNAcentral is "non-protein coding lnc-RIPOR1-1:13". The record is from RNAcentral. Lineage: Eukaryota; Metazoa; Chordata; Mammalia; Primates; Hominidae.
UGGCAAAGGAAACCGUCUUUGAAGGGCAACUGUUUGAAAAUGCUGCAGAAACAUGAGAAAUGUUCAUGAAGUGACCCUGUGGAGGCUUCCGGUCACAGGAUCAUGUGAGCGCCACGAUCACCCCAGGGGUGGAGCAGAUGCUAAGUGUUCACCACACCCAAUUCUCUUCCUGGACACACAGGAAGAUGACAUUUCCAGUGACAUGCCCCACCUCUAGGCCCUAGUCUUUUUUUUAUUUAAAGGUCUGAGUCUUGUUCUGUCACCCAGGCUGGAGUGCAGUGCUGUGAUCAUGACUCACUGCAGCCUCAACCUCCUGUGCUCAAACAAUCCUCCCACCUCAGCCUCCCUAAUAGCUGAUGUCAUAUAGGCAUGAGCCAGUGUGCCUGGCUCAGGCCCUACCCUUAAAAGCAUCCCACCUGAUUCACCAGCCCCCUUCUCUCUCUCAGUAAACUUGGAAACCACGCAUUCCAGAUGGUAUAAUUUACAGCAUGAUGGAAAAAGCCAGCUCUCCAUGGGAAGCUGGCCAGUCUUCAUUGGAGUACAUUUUUAUUGCAUGAAGCCAAUGAGACUUGAUAUUGUUUAACUCUGUGGUUUCCAAAGUGCGGUCCUUUUGAAGUAUCCAUAAAGUCUACACUAGGUUCACGGUAAUAUUAAGAUGUUAUUUGUCAGCUGGGCACGGUGGCUCACGCCUAUAAUCUCAGCACUUUGGGAGGCCAAGGCAAAUGGAUAAUGAGGUCAGGAGUUUCAGACCAGCCUGGCCAACAUGGUGAAACCCAGUCUCUACUAAAAAUACAAAAAUUACCUGGGUGUGGUGAUGCAUGCCUGUAAUCCCAGCUACUCAGGAGGAGGCUGAGGCAGGAGAAUUGCUUGAAUCCGGGAGGCAGAGAUUGCAGUGAGCUGAAAUCUCACCACUGCACUCCAGCCUGGGUGAUGGAGCAAGACACUGUCUCAAAAAAAAAAAAAAAGAUAUUAUUUGUCUUUCAUGAGUGUACAGUGGGAUUUUCCAGAGGCUACAUGACAUGUGUUUUUUUAUUUUGUUUUUUAUACUGACAGAGGGGUCUUGCUAUGUUGCCCAGACUGGUCUUCCAACUCCUGGCCUCAAGUGAUCCUCCCGCCUUCACCUCCCAAAGUGCUGGGAUUAUAGGUGUGAGCCACUGCGCCUGGCUGUUUGUGACAUGUGAUGUUGAAACAGGUUGAGUAUAGAAGCAGAUAUGGGAAUUAAACCAGAAUAUUAAACCAGACAUUGAAGAGAUUUGCAAAAAAUACAAAACAAUACCACUGUUUUCACUUUCUUUUUGGUUUGGAAAAAUGUAGUUAUUUUUCAUUAAAAGUAUGUUGUGUUGGCUGGGCACAGUGGCUCAUGCCUGUAAUCUCAACGCUGGGAGACUGAGGUGGGAGGAUCACUUGAGAUCAGGAGUUCGAGACCAGCCUGACCAACAUAAUGAAACCCCAUCUCUACUAACAAUAUAAAAAUUAGCUGGGCUGGCUGAGCGCGGUGGCUCACGCCUGUAAUCCCAGCACUUUGGGAGGCCAAGGCGGGCGGAUCAUGAGGUCAGGAGAUCGAGACCAUCCUGGCUAACAUGGUGAAACCCCAUCUCUACUAAAAAUACAAAAAAUUAGCUGGGCGAGGUGGCGGGCGCCUGUAGUCCCAGCUGCUCAGGAGGCUGAGGCAGGAGAAUGGCGUGAACCCAGCGGGCAGAGCCUGCAGUGAGCAGAGAUCGCGCCACUGCACUCCAGCCUGGGCGACAGCAAGACUCCGUCUCAAAAAAAAAAAAAAAAAAUAACUGGGCUUGGUGGCAUGCGCCUAUAAUCCCAGCUACUUGAGAGGCUGAAGCAGAAGAAUUGCUUGCACCUGGGAGGGGCAGGUUGCAGUGAGCCAAGAUCGCACCACUGCACUCCAGCCUGGGCAACAGAGCAAGACACCUUCACCUUCUCAAAAAAAAAAAAAGUUGUGUUAACAUGUAAUGGUUUCAUGAUAUCAUUUUAAAUAAAUUAAUAAACAUGUAAACAUUUUCUCUGUUUUAAUUUCUCACAUGGUAAAUAUUAAUGGUGUGAACCAAAAAGUGACUGAGGCAUCUCAAUCAAUUUAGAGGUUUAUCUUGCCA